AACGAACGCUGGCGGCAUGCCUAACACAUGCAAGUCGAACGAUGCCUUCGGGCAUAGUGGCGCACGGGUGCGGAACGCGGGGGAAUCUGCCUGUCGGUUCGGAAUCACUCAGGGAAACUUGAGCUAAUACCGGAUAACGUCGCAAGACCAAAGAGUUAUGACGGAAAGAUGAGCCCGCGUAGGAUUAGCUAGUUGGUGAGGUAAAGGCUCACCAAGGAGACGUUGCUUAGCUGGUCUGAGAGCAUGAUCCGCCACGCUGGGAAUACGACACGGCCCAGACUCGUACGCAGGGGAGGAGUAGGGUAUACAGGGCGCGGAGGGAAGGCGUGGUAACGCAAUGCCGCGUAAGAGGGGAAGGCGUUAGGGUUGUGAAGCUGUUUUACACGGAGAGAUAGUGACGGUACCGGGUGAAUAAGCACCGGCUAACUACGUG
This 433-nucleotide ribosomal RNA is filed under the name uncultured bacterium. Its description in RNAcentral is "partial 16S ribosomal RNA". It matches the Rfam family "Bacterial small subunit ribosomal RNA", at positions 29 to 507 of the family's 1533-position model. The record is from RNAcentral.